UGCAGUCGAACGGUAACAGGAAGUGCUUGCACUUCGCUGACGAGUGGCGGACGGGUGAGUAAUGCUUGGGAACUUGCCUUUAGGUGGGGGAUAACAGUUGGAAACGACUGCUAAUACCGCAUAAUGUCUACGGACCAAAGGGGGCUUCGGCUCUCGCCUUGAGAGAGGCCCAAGUGAGAUUAGCUAGUUGGUGGGGUAAAGGCCUACCAAGGCAACGAUCUCUAGCUGUUCUGAGAGGAAGAUCAGCCACACUGGGACUGAGACACGGCCCAGACUCCUACGGGAGGCAGCAGUGGGGAAUAUUGCACAAUGGGGGAAACCCUGAUGCAGCCAUGCCGCGUGUGUGAAGAAGGCCUUCGGGUUGUAAAGCACUUUCAGUUGUGAGGAAAGGUUGGUAGUUAAUACCUGCCAGCUGUGACGUUAACAACAGAAGAAGCACCGGCUAACUCCGUGCCAGCAGCCGCGGUAAUACGGAGGGUGCGAGCGUUAAUCGGAAUUACUGGGCGUAAAGCGCACGCAGGCGGCUUGUUAAGCUAGAGGUGAAAGCCCCGCGCUCAACGUGGGAACUGCCUUUAGAACUGGCAGGCUAGAGUCUUGGAGAGGGGAGUGGAAUUCCAGGUGUAGCGGUGAAAUGCGUAGAUAUCUGGAGGAACAUCAGUGGCGAAGGCGGCUCCCUGGCCAAAGACUGACGCUCAUGUGCGAAAGUGUGGGUAGCGAACAGGAUUAGAUACCCUGGUAGUCCACACCGUAAACGCUGUCUACUAGCUGUUUGUGUAUUUAAUACGUGAGUA
Molecule: ribosomal RNA, 791 nt
Filed under: uncultured Alteromonas sp.
Lineage: Bacteria; Pseudomonadati; Pseudomonadota; Gammaproteobacteria; Alteromonadales; Alteromonadaceae
Description: bacterial SSU rRNA
Rfam family: Bacterial small subunit ribosomal RNA
Source: RNAcentral